Molecule: ribosomal RNA, 249 nt
Filed under: uncultured organism
Description: partial 16S ribosomal RNA
Rfam family: Bacterial small subunit ribosomal RNA
Source: RNAcentral
UGAGGAAUAUUGCUCAAUGGGCGCAAGCCUGAAGCAGCAACGCCGCGUGGGUGAUGACGGGCUUCGGCUCGUAAAACCCUUUUCUGUGUGACGAGAACGGACGGUAGCACAGGAAUAAGCCUCGGCUAACUACGUGCCAGCAGCCGCGGUAAAACGUAGGAGGCCAGCGUUAUCCGGAGUUACUGGGCGUAAAGCGUACGUAGGCGGCUUAUCAAGUCUGGGGUUAAAGACCACAGCUUAACUGUGGGA